Molecule: ribosomal RNA, 360 nt
Filed under: Salmonella enterica
Lineage: Bacteria; Pseudomonadati; Pseudomonadota; Gammaproteobacteria; Enterobacterales; Enterobacteriaceae
Description: partial 23S ribosomal RNA
Rfam family: Bacterial large subunit ribosomal RNA
Source: RNAcentral
GAUAACAGGCUGAUCUUGCCCAAGAGUCCAUAUCGACGGCAUGGUUUGGCACCUCGAUGUCGGCUCGUCGCAUCCUGGGGCUGGAGUAGGUCCCAAGGGUUGGGCUGUUCGCCCAUUAAAGCGGUACGCGAGCUGGGUUUAGAACGUCGUGAGACAGUUCGGUCCCUAUCCGCUGUGCGCGUAGGAAACUUGAGAAGAGCUGUCCCUAGUACGAGAGGACCGGGAUGGACGAACCUCUGGUGUGUCAGUUGUUCUGCCAAGAGCACGGCUGAUUAGCUACGUUCGGAAGUGAUAACCGCUGAAAGCAUCUAAGCGGGAAGCACGCUUCAAGAUGAGGUUUCCAUGGGCUUCGGCCCGAGA